RNAcentral lists this small RNA (27 nucleotides) under Bombyx mori (domestic silkworm). Its description in RNAcentral is "ovarian small RNA-4729". Lineage: Eukaryota; Metazoa; Arthropoda; Insecta; Lepidoptera; Bombycidae. The record is from RNAcentral.
CAGGUCUAUAGCACUGAUUGCUUCAUC